This is a long non-coding RNA of Myotis brandtii (Brandt's bat), 788 nucleotides long. RefSeq lists it as uncharacterized. NCBI's taxonomy places the organism in Eukaryota, Metazoa, Chordata, Mammalia, Chiroptera, Vespertilionidae. The record is from RefSeq and is a predicted model, not a curated record. The transcript is spliced from 2 exons.
GGGUGCUGCGGGACCUUUGCGCCCACACCUUUCGGGCCCUGAGUGUUGCAGCCCCUGAUCAUUCUCGUCCGCAGGUGUCUGGCCGGCCAAGAACAAACUCCUCCAUCGUCAGAUUCCCAAUCCUUGGAAGCCGAGAUGGGAAAGACGGGGGAGGGAGGAGGGAAAGCCCCUCACCUUGACUGUUCGCCCACGCACGUUCUCUCGCACUGUGCUGCCUCGGUUCACACGUGGGGAAAUUAACCGAGCCCGUAGUUAUUCACCUGGCGCGGAGGGUGACCCCAGCAAGGAGCGCGUGAACCAGGAGGCGAGUUCGGAGCACCCGAUCGAUCCGGAGCCUUUAUGAAGCUUUUACAGCGUCCCCAACAAUGCUUCCUCCUGGGCUCUGUCUGCACCAACACAGGAUUUACGCGACACCUGCUGUCUGCCUCCCCUACCGUGCGGUGUCUGGGGCACCCGACUCUGUCCCUAGGCUGAUGAAGGGCCUAUUUUUCCAAAGGAACAUUUGCCACGCAAGUACUGCGUGCUUAGCUGUGAUGUGGCAGGGAGAAGGGAGCCCAGAUGAAGCUGGACCCCCGCCGUCACCUGAGGAGCUAAGGAAAACAGGCUCUAAUCAGAUUAGUACUUGCCUGUAAGGAGCUGGGCGAGUCAUGCCCACUCACCGGGCUUUGGUGUCCCUUUCUCUUAAACAAAAGAAUGGGAUUAGCAGUUCUUUGCUUGGAAAUACCGGUGGCAGUUGAAGAGCAACGUGUGUCUCCCCUCUUUAAAAUAAAUGUUAACGUGAAGUUAAA